GGCGAGGUGGCCGAGUGGUUAAGGCGAUGGGCUGCUAAUCUAUUGGGCUGUGCCAUAUGGGUUUGAGUCCCACCCUCGUCG
Molecule: transfer RNA, 81 nt
Filed under: Rhipicephalus microplus (southern cattle tick)
Lineage: Eukaryota; Metazoa; Arthropoda; Arachnida; Ixodida; Ixodidae
Description: tRNA-Ser
Rfam family: tRNA
About the family: Transfer RNA (tRNA) molecules are approximately 80 nucleotides in length. Their secondary structure includes four short double-helical elements and three loops (D, anti-codon, and T loops). Further hydrogen bonds mediate the characteristic L-shaped molecular structure. tRNAs have two regions of fundamental functional importance: the anti-codon, which is responsible for specific mRNA codon recognition, and the 3' end, to which the tRNAs corresponding amino acid is attached (by aminoacyl-tRNA synthetases). tRNAs cope with the degeneracy of the genetic code in two manners: having more than one tRNA (with a specific anti-codon) for a particular amino acid; and 'wobble' base-pairing, i.e. permitting non-standard base-pairing at the 3rd anti-codon position.
Source: Rfam by way of RNAcentral